RNAcentral lists this ribosomal RNA (500 nucleotides) under uncultured soil bacterium. Its description in RNAcentral is "bacterial SSU rRNA". It matches the Rfam family "Bacterial small subunit ribosomal RNA", at positions 26 to 524 of the family's 1533-position model. The record is from RNAcentral.
AGAUUGAACGCUGGCGGCAUGCCUUACACAUGCAAGUCGAACGGUAGAGUAGCAAUACUUGAGAGUGGCGAACGGGUGAGUAAUAUAUCGGAACGUGCCCAGUCGUGGGGGAUAACGUAGAGAAAUUUACGCUAAUACCGCAUACGAUCUAAGGAUGAAAGCGGGGGACUCGCAAGAGCCUCGCGCGAUUGGAGCGGCUGAUAUCAGAUUAGGUUGUUGGUGAGGUAAAAGCUCACCAAGCCGACGAUCUGUAGCUGGUUUGAGAGAACGACCAGCCACACUGGGACUGAGACACGGCCCAGACUCCUACGGGAGGCAGCAGUGGGAAUUUUGGACAAUGGGCGAAAGCCUGAUCCAGCAAUGCCGCGUGCAGGAAGAAGGCCUUCGGUGUAAACUGCUUUGUACGGAACGAAACGGUCUGUCUUUAAUACAGCGGACUAAUAGACGGUACGUAAAGAAUAAAGACACCGGCUAACUACGUAGCCAGCAGCCGCGGUAAC